CAUCAGGUUGUGUUGUGAUCUGUUCAGUUGUAGGGUCUCUCUUGCCAUUUCCUUCCUUUUGGGCUUGUGAGGGAUGAGUUGGGUCCUCAUCACAGUCACUUUUCACACAGCCAGCAGUGAAUAUGGAGUCUUUAGUAUCAGUCUCAAACCCAUGAAUCUGCUCUUCCUCCUGACUGGUCCUGAGUUCCUCCUCUUCCUCUUUAAUCUGUAUGGGCUCUGUGUCCUCCGGUCCCAGACUGGGGCUCCACUCCUGCUCACAGUGCUGCUGCUUAGGGGGAACCUCCUCUUCAGAGACAGAGAGAGUACGCUGCUGGAGGUCUGGAGGAAAGGAGAAAGGAUGAAACGGAGAACUUAAUGCUGACAUUAUUACAUUUAGGCCUACCCGCUAACUUUAAUAUUACACUUACCAAAGUGUUUGGUCCUUUAAAAACCUGCUGUAUGUAAAAUAGUGUGCUUUGAAUUGGGAAAUAAAUCAAUGUGACUCUGGAUGACAACAUAAUGAUGUUUGUUUACAACAUCAGGGCUGUUUUCUUAAAGAAGUUACAUCCACUUCUUGUUUUGUUUACUUGCCACGGUACUAACGAGUAUCACUGAAAGCGAAGAUUCUCAGGAACAUAUGAGUCUUCAGUUUCCCUCUACAAUGCUCAUAAGUUGCACAGGACUCCGCACAGAAUGACUGGGGAAAAUAAUUGAUGCAAUUGUGAUUUUCUUUCUAUGAAAUUUUUGAACGGUUUGGGCUAUUGGCAAUUAUGACCCCAUCCCUGAAAGCUAAGACUCAGGAACAUACAGGUAACUGCCAACAUAAAGAGUCUUAAUAGAACAGCUUCAAAGCACCUUUGCAUAGAUUCUACUAGUGUCUAGAACUCUAUUGGAGGGAUGCGACAUCAUUCUUCCAUGAGAAAUUCCAUCAUUUGGUGUUUUGUUGGUGGUGGUGGAAAACGCAGUCUCAGGCACAACUCCAGAAUCUCCCAUAAGUGUUCAAUUGGGUUGAGAUCUGGUGACUGAGAUGGACAAGGCAUAUGGUUUAGUUUUCAUGUUCAUCAAACCAUUCAGUGACCACAUAUGCCCUGUGGAUGGGGGCAUUGUCAUCCUAUGCAGGCAUAGCCAUUGUAGUCAAAAUAAUGGGACAAAAUAAUGGCCUGCCCAGCAUUUUUAUUCAUGUAUGAUGGGAUGUUAAUUGCUUAAUUAACUCAGGAACCACACCUGUGUGGAAUCAACUUUGUAUCCCUCAUUUACUCAUGUGUUUCCAUUAUUUUGUCAGUUACCUGUAUAUGUGUCUUCUGUUUCCCUCUACAACACUCACAAGUCACAAAGGACUUAGAAGGGACUGUGACAAGACUGCACAGAACGACUGGGGAAAAUAAAUUGAUCUUCUGUUCUUACAUGCUGACCAGACCGCACAUGCGCCAUUGCGAGGAAGUUGAUUUUGUCCACCCACACCAGACGUGAUCAGGACACGCAGAUUGAAAUAUCAAAGCAAACUCUGAACCAAUUAUAUUAAUUUGGGUACAAGCAUUAAACAUUUAUGGCAAUUUAGCUAGCUAACUUGCUAGCUCAUUUGUCCUGGGAUAUAAACGUUGGGUUGUUAUUUUACCUGAAAUGCACAAGGUCCUCUACUCCGACAAUUUAUCCACAGAUAAAACGGUAAACCGAAUUUGUUUCUAGUCAUCUCUCCUCCUUCAGGCUUCUUCUUCUUAUGUGGACUUAAUAUGGCAGUUGGCAACCAAUUUUAAAGUGCAUUACCACAACUGACUGGAGUGUGGACCUCAGUUCAUCUUUCAAUCACCCACGUCGGUAUAUGCUCCUAAAAAACAAUGAGAUGGGAGAGGCAGGUCUUGCAGUGCGUUGAGCGUCACAAAUAGAACCAAGUUCUAUUUUAGCGCCUGGCUACGCAGACGCUCGCUCACAUGCACGAGCAGUGUGGGUGCAAUGAUUGAAUAACAUGUGUGUACAUUUAUUUUUCAACACUCGCGCCCGCAAUGCGUACGGGCUGGUCAGCAUGUAAGAAAGGUGAAAUACACAAUGAUUUCCUGAUGAUCCUUUGUCUGCUUUCCUAAACUUUAAAAUAUUUGUCUGAUGUAUUUCAAAUCACUUUAAAGCAUAUUUCAUUAAAUUGCUGUUUUGAAGCUAAUUUUCUGCUAUUCUACACAUUUUGCAAUGGAGCUAAGAGAACAUGUGCACUUUUAAAAGCAUAUUUCCUGCAAUUUGACAUAUUUUGCCAUGGCUUAUGCUAUCUGAGUUACUCAAACAUAACAAAAUCAAUGGAGGCCCCAUGCCAUGCCAUUUGGGUCAUUUUAGAUUCUAACUCACUGGUUUUUAUUUUGGUGAUUUUAUUUGAAAAUAUACAUACUUUAUCUAGUUUUAGUCGUUUACGUUAACAUGGUAAUUUUUUCCCAACACUGUUUGACAUACAUUAUAUAAACUCAGCAAAAAAAGAAACGUCCUCUCACUGUCAACUGCGUUUAUUUUCAACAAACUUAACAUGUGUAAAUAUUUGUAUGAACAUAAGAUUCAACAACUAAGACAUAAACUGAACAAGUUCCACAGACAUGUGACUAACAGAAAUGGAAUAAUGUGUCCCUGAACAAAGGGGGGGGUCAAAAUCAAAAGUAACAGUAAGUAUCUGGUGUGGCCACCAGCUGCAUUAAGUACUGCAGUGCAUCUCCUCAUGGACUGCACCAGAUUUGCCAGUUCUUGCUGUGAGAUGCUACCCCACUCUUCCACCAAGGGACCUGCAAGUUCCUGGACAUUUCUGGGAGGAAUGGCCCUAGCCUUCACCCUCCGAUCCAACAGGUCCCAGACGUGCUCAAUGGGAUUAAGAUCCGGGCUCUUCGCUGGCCAUGGCAGAACACUAACAUUCCUGUCUUGCAGGAAAUCACGCACAGAACGAGCAGUAUGGCUGGUGGCAUUGUCAUGCUGGAGGGUCAUGUCAGGAUGAGCCUGCAGGAAGGGCACCACAUGAGGGAGGAGGAUGUCUUCCCUGUAAUGCACAGCGUUGAGAUUGCCUGCAAUUACAACAAGCUCAGGCCCAGACCAUGAAGGACCCUCCACCUCCAAAUCGAUCCCGCUCCGGAGUGCAGGCUUCGGUGUAACGCUCAUUCCUUCGACGAUAAACGUGAAUCCGACCAUCACCCCUGGUGAGACAAAACCGCAACUCGUCAGUGAAGAGCACUUUUUGCCAGUCCUGUCUGGUCCAGCGACGGUGGGUUGGUGCCCAUAGGCGACGUUGUUGCCGGUGAUGUCUGGUGAGGACCUGCCUUACAACAGGCCUACAAGCCCUCUGUCUAGCCUCUAUCAGCCUAUUGCGGACAGUCUGAGCACUGAUGGAGGGAUUGUGCAUUCCUGGUGUAACUCGGGCAGUUGAUGUUGCCAUCCUGUACCUGUCCCGCAGUUCUGAUGUUCGGAUGUACCGAUCCUGUGCAGGUGUUGUUACACGUGGUCUGCCACCGCGAGGAUGAUCAGCUGUCCGUCCUGUCUCCCUGUAGCGCUGUCUUAGGCGUUUCACAGUACGGACAUUGCAAUUUAUUGCCCUGGCCCCAUCUGCAGUCCUUAUGCCUCCUUGCAGCAUGCCUAAGGCAUGUUCACGCAGAUGAGCAGGGACCCUGGGCAUCUUUCUUUUGGUGUUUUUCAGUAGAAAGGCCUGUUUAGUGUCCUAGGUUUUCAUAAACUGUGACCUUAAUUGCCUACCGUCUGUAAGCUGUGAGUGUCUUAACGACCGUUACACAGUUGCAUGUUCAUUAAUUGUUUAUGGUUCAUUGAACAAGCAUGGGAAACAGUGUUUAAACCCUUUACAAUGAAGAUCUGUGAAGCUAUUUGGAUUUUUAUGAAUUAUCUUUGAAAGACAGGGUCCUGAAAAAGGGACGUUUCUUUUUUUGCUGAGUUUAUACAAAUGUAUGUGGACACCCUCUAAAUGAGUGGAUUCGGCUAUUUCAGCCUCAACCAUUGCUAACAGGUGUAUAAAAUCGAGCACACACCCAAGCAAUCUCCAUAGACAAACAUUGCCAGUAGAAUGGCCUUACUGAAGACCUCAGUGACUUUCAAUGUGGCACCGUCUUAGGAUGCCACCAUAGGAUGCCAAGUCAGUUCGUCAAAUGUCUGCCCUGCUAGAGCUGCCCCGGUCAACUGUAGGUGCUGUUAUUGUGAAGUGGAAAUGUCUAGGAGCAACAAUGGCCCAGCCACAAAAUGGUAGGCCACCCCAAGGUCACGGAAUAGGACCGCCAAGUGCUGAAGUGAGUAAAAAUCGUCUGUCCUUGGUUGUAACACUCACUACAGUCGGGAGCUUCAUGAAAUGGGUUUCCAAGGCAGAGCAGCGGCACACAAGCCUAAGAUGCGCAAUGCCAAGCGUCAGCCGGAGUGGUGUAAAGCUCACCGCCAUUAGACUCUGGAGCAGUGGAAACGCGUUCUCUGGAGUGAUGAAUCACGCUUCACCAUCUGGCAGUCCGACGGACUAAUCUGGGUUUGGCAGAUGCCAGGAGAAUGCUACCUGCUCCAAUGCAUAGUGCCAACUGUAUAGUUUGGUGGAGGACUAACGGUCUGGGGCUGUUUUUCAUGGUUUGGGCUAGGAGUUCUUAGUUCCAGUGAAAGGAAAUCUUAACAGUACAGCAUACAAUGACAUUCUAGAUGAUUCUGUGCUUCCAACUUUGUGGCAACAGUUCGGGGAAGGCCCUUUCCUGUUUCGACAUGACAAUGCCCUGUGCACAAAGCAGGGUCAAUUCAGAAAUGGUUUGCUGAGAUUGGUGUGGAAGAACUUGACUGGCCAGCACAGAGCUCUUACCUCAACCCCAUCGAACACCUUUAGGAUUAAUUGGAAUGCAGACUGCGAGCCAAGCCUAACCACCCGAUCUCACUAAUGCUCAUGGCUGAAUGGAAGCAAGUCCCCGCAGCAAUUUUCCAACAUAUAGUGGAAAGCUUCCCAGAAGAGUGGAGGCUGUUAUAGCAGCAAAGGGGUUUUGGAUUUGAGAUGUUCGACGUGCAGGUGUAGUGUAUAGUGUAGUGUAUAUUUGUGUUAUUUAUAAGGCGCAUUGAGCUACUGUUGCUUCAGAUGUCACGUAUCUUUGACAGUACAUUGUUUACAGUUGUGCACUGUAAAUGUAGCCUACAGUUCUAAGGACGCACAAAGUUACUUAUUUUCAAGCUCAUUUUCUGUCUCAUGGGAUAUGGGUUGCGUUUUACAUGAAAAUACAUUUUACUAUCAUACCACAUUUAGCCCUCCAUUCAGCCAUGACAAUUGUAUGCUAUUUUCCCAACUUCAAAUAGCGAUUAGCCUACAGCUGUGCACCAACGGAGGGUCCAAGACUUAACACUGAUCAAUUAAAAACACUCACCAGAAAGUUUUUUUAAAACAGAAUCAGUUCUGAUGGCGAACAUCAUCUCAGCCGAGAAAAAAAAAAACAUGAUAUUAUUAAAAUAGUGAAAUGAUUUCAAAUUCCCAUCCCUAGUUAAUAGGGAAUUAAUGUUACACAGAAAUUGCUAAGUAUUCAGAAGAUUGCACUGUACUUCAGCACUGUAAAGGUCUGCCACAUCUGCCUCUGACUCUCACCAUCCCUAAAAAGUUGUUAUCAUUCAGAGCCCUAAUAAAGGUGCUUGUCAAACCUGAUAGAUCAAUGUCAUCACAAAAUGCAGCCUAAAAUUCACAUGAAUUAGCCAAUAACUCCUCCUUCAGAUAAAGGCCUACGCAACUCCUGUUUUGAGCACAUCAUUUGAUCAUAUGCUGAGGGUAUAAAACUAUGGUGUUCAACUUGAGCCAACAGUGAUUUAGCCACAACUUUUGAACAUGGUGUCAUUCUUUAAAAAAAAUGAAUGGUUAGAAGGGCAAUGGGUCAUGUCAAUUUUUGGGGAAAUGCAAGAAAUUAGUUUUAAGUGGCAGAAAUCUGAGUUGCGAUGAGUGUCCACCAACGACAUUGAGUCGCUUAGGGUCUAUACUUGAAAAUGUCCAUUCUUUAAUUAUUUAUUUGUACCUAUGUUUGUGCCGUAUAGCUGCAAGCUUUCCUUUGGGUCCUGAAAUCGGUAUAUUUAUUUUUAGUAGCGUUUUACCCAACCUCUGCCGAGGGAGGCUUUGUUUGUUAACGGAGAAAGAGCUGCACGAUGCGUUCUUUUUAGCAAGGGACACAAAAAAAAUUUAAAUCUAAAAAACGAUUGAUUCCAAAUCCAACUCUAUAACAAUCAGGACAAGCACAAGUAGGUAGUAAAAGCGUUAAAUAACAUUGGAUUACGGUGCGCAGUUUAAAAGUCAGGGUCUAAAUUUACUGUUGAAAAUUAGAAAAGUAGAAUAGAUAUAUAAGGUGUAAUUAAAAAAUAAAAUAAAUCUUGUUAUGUCAGUCACUGACAGUCACUCAAUUAGCCCAUGUUUUAGCUGGCUUGACUAAUUUACCAAUCUAAACUUGUAGUACUCAUUAUUGAAUUACCGACUGGGGAAGCCUCCAUUGAUUUUGUUAUUCACUGUCACUCAAUAUCAUAACCAAAAACAUUGCACACAUUUCUCACCACCCUAUGGCAAAAUGUGUAGAAUUUAAUGAAUUUAGCUGUAAAACUGCUAAUUGUUCUCUACGCCCUAUGGCAAGAUGAGUAGAAUUGCAGGAAAUUAACAACAAAAAAAGAACAUUCUCUCUGUUGCCUGUAUACUUUUCUCAAAAGUCACUAGAAAUUAGCAUUUAAAAUCUGUUUUUCAACAAACCAAAAAAGUCUGGGGGCUUGCCCCCAGAACCCCGUAGCAAAGUGUGUCUCACCCCUAGGAUUUCACAUUUUGGGGAAUAUUAACAGGAAUAUAUGGGAAAUAACGGAAAUAUAUGCAAAUUAAUAUUAACACCAUUUAAAUGCUUUUUACAUUGGAUAUAUUUACCAUCUCAUAUGGAGACAGAAACAUAAACAUUUUACCUUAUCAUAAGUAGACACAUUUGCAAAUGAUUAAAUCCUUCCAAUAGAAAAAAAUAUAUAUAUUUGUUACAAAAUUGAACUUUAAUAAAAUUAUAUGACUCUUCACAUGGGAUGAUUUCACUGAACAACAAAAGGGAAUAUUGAAUGAUCCCCAAUGAUCCAUCGCAUCUCCCAAAACGUUUUUAACAUACAUCUGUAAAAUGAUAGUCCAGAAACUAAAGCUUUGGUUGUCUUCCUCUCAGGCUUCACAUGUCUUCUCCCUGGACCUCAAUGUCCACCUCUUGACCAUCAGACUGAGGCCUCAUCUUCACUGUCACUUUCCAACCUUGUUGAGGAUGGCUCGUUGUCAGGCUCAAAAAGCCUCAAAUUUGCCCAGAUGGCCACCAAUUUUUCAACCUUUGUAUUGGUCAGUCUGUUGCGUGCUUUGGUGUGUGUGUUCUCAAACAAGGACCAGUUGCACUCUGAGGUGGCUGAUGUUGUUGGGAUUUGGAGGAUGAUGGAGGCAACAGGGGAAACAGCCUCAGAUCCACAAAGUCCCUUCCACCAGGUGGCUGAUGAGGUAUGUUGGCACGACUGCCAUAUUGCAUCUCCACCCCAAAGCCCUUGCUUGGAAGUGUACUUUGCCAGACUGCCAAGAACCUUGCCCUCAUCCAGGCGGCAAGACACGGUAGUGAUGACACCAUAGGCCUUGUUGAUCUCUGCACCAGACAGGAUGCUCUUGCCAGCAUACUUGGGUCCAACAUGUAUACUGCAGCCUGUAUGGGCUUCAGGCAGAAGUCUUCACGCUUUUUGAUGUAUUUCAGAACUGCAGUUUCCUCUGCUUGGAGGUAGAUUGCUGCUAUAACUUGAUGACCCUUCACAUUCCUAACCAUUUCCUUGGCUCUCUUGUAGAGUGUAUUCAUUGUUUUCAGUGCCAUGAUGUCCUUGAGGAGCAGAUUCAAUGCAUGAGCAGCACAGCCAAUGGGUGUGAUGUAAGGGUAGGACUCCUCCACUUUAGACCAAGCAGCCUUCAUGUUCACAGCAUUGUCUGUCACCAGUGCAAAUACCUUCUGUGGUCCAAGGUCAUUGAUGACUGCCUUCAGCUCAUCUGCAAUGUAGAGACUGGUAUGUUGUCCCUUGUGUCUGUGCUCUUGUAGAAUACUGGUUGAGGGGUGGAGAUGAUGUAGUUAAUUAUUCCUUGCCAACGACCAUUCGACCACCCAUCAGAGAUGAUUGCAAUACAGUCUGCUCUCUCUAUGAUUUGCUUGACCUUCACUUGAACUCUGUAUCCAGCAAAUAAGUAGAUAAAGCAUGUCUGGUUGGAGGGGUGUAUGCUGGGUGAAGAACAUUCAGAAAUCUCUUCCAAUACACAUUGCCUGUGAGCAUCAGAGGUGAACCAGUUGCAUACUCAGCUCGAGCAAGACAUUCAUCAGCAUUUCUCUGACUACGUUAAUCCACUGAGUCAAAAACACUUCUGAUUCCAGGAGGACCGUGAGCUGUUGCUAUCAAUAAGAUGUCUGAUUCAUCAUUUUCACCUCGAAUAGAAGUAGAGGGACUUUUGUCAGAGGUUGCUUGUUGUGAACGCUGAGGGAACUUUAUGCACUUGGCCAGAUGAUUCUGCAUCUUUGUUGCAUUCUUCACAUAUGAUUUGGCACAAUAUUUGCAAAUGUACACAGCUUUUCGUUCUACAUUAGCUGCAGUGAAAUGUCUCCACACAUCAGAUAGCGCCCGCGGCAUUUUCCUGUAAAGAUUAGGGGGGAAAUGAUAUAUUUAAAAAAUAUAUACAAUUCCAUGUACAGAUAAAUAGUUAAGCAGGUAAGAUAAAUGUUUUAAAAUGAAACAUGUAUGGAAUAGAGGUCGACCGAUUAAUCUCCAUGGCCAUUAAAUUAGGGCCGAUUUCAAGUUUUUAUAACAAAUUGGUAAAUCUGCCUUUUAGGACCCGACUAUGGCCGAUUACAUUGCAAUCCACGAGGAGACAGCGUGGCGGCUGACCACCUGUUACUCAAGUGCAGCAUCAAAAGGACCUUGUGGCUGCAAGGAGCCAAGGUCCCCAGGCUGCUCGUUAUGGUGCACACCUGUCACUAUCGUUACAAGCACCUGCGCGUCAUCACCUCCCUGAUGACCUUCCCUAUAUAUGUCUCUUCCUUUGGUCCCUUCCCCAGGCGUUAUUGUUUCUGUUCCUGUGUCAGUUCUGUGUGAUGUUCGUGUUUCUUAUUUUUGUAUUAUGUUGUGUUUAGUUAUUAAAAACACUCACUCCCUGAACUUGCUUCCCGACUCUCAGCGCACGUCGUUAAAAAUCACUAGUUAACUACAUAUGGUUGAUGAUAUUACUAGGUUAACUAGCUUGUCCUGCGUUGCAUAUAAUCAAUGUGGUGCCUGUUAAUUUAUCAUUGAAUCAAAGCCUACUUCAACUUCGCCAAACGGGUGAUGAUUUAACAAAAGCGCAUUCGCGAAAAAAGCACAAUCGUUGCACAAAUGUACCUAACCAUAAACAUCAAUGCCUUUCUUAAAAUCAGUACACAGAGGUAUAUUUUUUUUAAACCUGCAUAUUUAGUUCAAGUUAGCAGGCAAUAUUACCUAUCAACUCCCGAUAUUAGGCUGGCAAUACUAAAGUGCCUAUAAGAACAUCCAAUAGUCAAAGGUAUAUGAAAUACAAAUGGUAUAGAGAAAUAGUCGACGCGUCAUAUUUCCUAUAAUAACUACAACCUAAAACGUCUUAACUGGGAAUAUUGAAGACUCAUGUUAAAAGGAACCACCAGCUUUCAUAUGUUCUCAUGUUCUGAGCAAGGAAUUUAAAUGUUAACUUUUUUACAUGGCACAUAUUGCACUUUUACUUUCUUCUCCAACUCUGUGUUUUUGCAUUGUUUAAACCAAAUUGAACAUGUUUCAUAAUAAAAAAUAAAAAAAAUAUUAUAUUAAGUUAAAAUAAAAGUGUUCAUUGUUCAUUCACUAUUGUUGUAAUUGUCAUUAUUACAAAUAUAUAUAUAAGAAUCGUCCGAUUAAUCGGUAUCGGCCUUUUAUGGUCCUACAAUAAAUCGGUAUCAGCGUUGGAAAAUCAUAAUCAGUCGACCUCUAGUAUGGAAACAGGUGAAUUAACACUCCUCAGUUAGCAGGCUCAAGCAAGCUAAAACCCACAUGGUAGCAAAAAUUAUCUAGCUGAAAUUGUUAACAAGUUAGAAAUGAUUUAAACACUUUGCUGUAGGCUACUAUUUACUAGUUAACAGAAAAUCAUGUAUGUCAUAUAAAAUAUAUUCACUCCACCCAGUAUUGUAAUCAAAACUUACCAGAAAGCAUGUAGUCCUUGGCUUAGACAGUGUAGUAGUGUGGGAUCAAUAGCAUCUCAUUAGUGUGCAAGAAUCAGCUGUGAUGGAAGAGUGCACUGCACAUGUGAUGGAAGAAUGCACUGUGCAUGCAGAGGGUUGCAAUUCCAUUGAAAACCUGUGUUUACCACAGAACUUAUUUUCUGUUUAUCCAAAACCCAGCGGAUCCGACACCUUACACUUGAUUACAGCUGCACUACAGGGUUUGACAGGCCGUUAGCUUAAAUUAACACAGCGGAGCUGUCGAGAUAUGACUCAGAAAACAUUCCUCAAUCCAGGGAUGAGAAAUUGCGUUGUACUCGGAAUUGUUCCAUUAUCCCAAAUGUUACAGCGAGAUGAUUGAACAUAGCUGUCGGAAAUAGCAGUAAUUCAAUCUUCUCGUUGUAACAGUUGGGAUAACGGGACAUUUAAAAAAAAUUCAACACUCACAGCCGACGAAGAUAUUAACAUUUUAUAUUCAUCCAAUGUCUGGCAUGUUUUUGGAUGACGUGAUAACAUCAUCACUGCUCACGCUUCUCCCUGUACACACUGAGGGCUAGCGAGCAUGUGUAAACCAGAUGCAAUUCAGAUCUGUCCAAAAUAAUCCCAAUGCGUUUCUAUGGGUUUACUAUGGACCUAAACUUGUCGCCUGCCUUCCUACCUUUGUUAGGUCGAAGACAUGAGCAUCUCCUCAUUAUAUAAAGAUCUCUGUAUGGAGGUAGAUCAUUGACAUAAUGAUUUGAGUGUGUAGAAUAGAUUUGUAGUUGUAAACAAAAUGUGGGUAACUGAUCAAUUGUGAACAUGAAAUAAUAAUCAGUAGUUGUGAUCGCAUUCACAAAUGUAUUAUUUAUUCUGUACACCUGCGCAUGUCAAUUUUGUGUGCUCAGACUUUUGGCAGUGCUUUAGCGCCCUACCGUGACAAAAAUAUUUGUAGAUGUGCAAACAGCAAUUACUAAGGAGAGAGAGAGUAGGAGUUCUUGGAGGGACCUGUUUCUUCUAACCAAUCAGAUGAGGUUUUUAUAGACCAGCAUACUCUACACUGGUUGGUUGGUGACAGCUCACAUGGGCUGUGAUCGUCUGAAGGCAACCACCUGUUAAUUACAAUGUGCAUUACAAGGUUACCACUGAGACUGAUUGCACAAAGUCCACCAAAGAAGCCCAACUGUUAGCUGUCAUAGCAGGUAAGCUUAAAUGUAUUUCUUUUAUGGCUAGGUAGCAAGCUUUUUUUCUUCUUUGUAAUAUUUUUUGGGAAGCUAUAAGCCAUUGCUAUUAAGAGUUUGUAACUAGCGUUGUAGUCUACCUAAUCAAUUUCGAUAGCUAGUGUCAAAGUUAUUUUGCAAACAUUUUUAAGCUAGCUAGCUUGAUUCUGUAUGGAGACAUAGUUAGCUGGCUAGCAUCAUUAUAUUAAAAACAUAUUAUUCACCUGCUAAGACCUAGCAACUGACAUAAAUCCCAUGAUUUAUUGAUCACCCAGUUAGAUCUGGUGUUUUAGUAGAAGCAUAACUGAGGGUAGAAAAUAAUUUAUUUAGGGUUUGACAUUGUCAGCCAAUGUCAAAGCUAUCUAAACCGUUUACAAAUUGUCUGUCUCCAGGCUGAAAUCCACUCCCGAAAGGACCCCGUCAGCUCCACAAUGCCCCGGGGGAUGUGAAGGACAUCCAGAACACUCUGGCAAAAGCAUCAACACCAUUGAAAACCCAGUCAGCUAGCCUCAGCUGUGGAGAACCUGAAGAAUAUCUUCUCACGUAUGUUCAGCUGCACCGUUGCAUGCAACUUGAUUGGGAAUUAUUGUUGGCUUGCAUUGCAUUUGAUGUGGCACAAUGUAUUUGUGUGUGUAUAUAUAUUUCUCCUCCCUUCUAGAGCAGUGCCUGAGAAGGUGGCAAACACUCCGUUAAUGACAAAGUAUGAUGAACUGCUGGAGGUUCGGCACAAGCUGGUGAACCUGGAGUGCUCAUGGAAUGACCUCAUGUACGAUCACUACCGCAUGGGCAGCAAGAACCCGCACAACAUUAACCUAAUUUGAAACUACUUUGGCAAGGUGUAGGGCCUGUCGGACAUCCAGGCCAAGCAACUCUGGAUAGCGCUGCAGCGCGCCAUGUGCAAGGCUGGAGGCCAAAGUGAGCAAUGACUCUGCUGCAGUGCUUCCUAAAACAUUACAACACCUUGACAGGUUCUUCAAGCUCUACCAUAAAACUGUGUCCAUGAGGGUGCAGAGGAUCUGACAGCCAACAAGAUUGUGUCCCUCACCUGGGUCCUCAAUUAAUACCUACAAAACUAAGUCUGUACUGCCCUCUGUGUGGCUAAUGUAGCAUCAGUGAUCUGGGCACCAGUCCAAUCAUACAGUGCAUUCGGAAAGUAUGCAGACCCCUUGACUUUUUCCACAUCUUGUUACGUUACAGCUUUAUUCUAAAAUAAAAUAAAAAUUUAAAUGUCCCCCCUCAAUCUACACACAAUAGCCCAUAAUGGCAAACCAAAAACAGGUUUUUCUAAUUUUUUGCAAAUUUAUUCAAAAUUAAAAACAAAAAUAUUACAUUUACAUAAUUAUUCAGACCCUUGACUCAGUACUUUGUUGAAGCACCUUUGACAGCAAUUAUAGCCUUGAGUCUUCUUGAGUAUGACACCUGUAUUUGGGGAGUUUCUCCCAUUCUUCUCUGCAGAUCCUCUCAAGCUCUGUCAGGUUGGAUGGGGAGCGUUGCUGCACAGCUAUUUUCAGGUCUCUCCAGAGAUGUUCGAUCAGGUUCAAGUCCGGGCUCUGGCUGGGCCACUCAAGGACAUUCAGAGACUUGUCCCGAAGCCACUCCUGCGUUGUCUUGGCUGUGUGCUUAGGGUCGUUUUCCUGUUGGAAGGUGAAGCUUCGCCCCAGUCUGAAGUCCUGAGCGCUCUGGAGCAGGUUUCAUCAAGGAUCUCUGUACUUUGCUCCUGCUCCAUUCAUCUUUCCCUCAACCCUGACUAGUCUCCCAGUCCCUGCCGCAGAAAAACAUCCCCACAGCAUGAUGCUGCCACCACCAUGCUUCACCGUAGGGAUGGUUCCAGGUUUAACCCAUUUUAGAAUAAGGUUGUAAGGUAAUAAUGUGGAAAGUCAAGGGGUCUGAAUACUUUCCGAAUGCAAAAGUAUGUUUGUUUAGCCAGCCUGCAUUACAUGGGAACCACCAAUAAAUUAUAUAUUCUCUCUGA
This is a long non-coding RNA of Salvelinus fontinalis (brook trout), 13322 nucleotides long. RefSeq lists it as uncharacterized. The record is from RefSeq and is a predicted model, not a curated record. NCBI's taxonomy places the organism in Eukaryota, Metazoa, Chordata, Actinopteri, Salmoniformes, Salmonidae. The transcript has 2 exons.